GUAGGGAAUAUUGCGCAAUGGGGGAAACCCUGACGCAGCGACGCCGCGUGAGUGAUGAAGGCCUUCGGGUCGUAAAGCUCUGUUGCAAGGGAAUAAAAAAAUGAAGGUACCCUGUGAGGAAGGAUCGGCUAACUUCGUGCCAGCAGCCGCGGUAAGACGAGGGAUCCUAGCGUUGCUCGGAAUCAUUGGGCGUAAAGAGGGCGUAGGUGGCUUGGUAAGUCAGGUGUGAAAGCCCAGGGCUCAACCCUGGAAGUGCAUUUGAUACUGCUGAGCUUGAGUGUCGGAGAGGUUACCGGAAUACCUGGUGUAGUGGUGAAAUACGUAGAUAUCAGGUGGAACACCGGAGGCGAAGGCGGGUAACUGGACGAACACUGACACUGAGGCCCGAAAGCGUGGGGAUCAAACAGGAUUAGAUACCCGAGUAGUCC
RNAcentral lists this ribosomal RNA (428 nucleotides) under uncultured bacterium. RNAcentral's name for it is "partial 16S ribosomal RNA". It matches the Rfam family "Bacterial small subunit ribosomal RNA", at positions 354 to 796 of the family's 1533-position model. The record is from RNAcentral.